Molecule: ribosomal RNA, 588 nt
Filed under: uncultured bacterium
Lineage: Bacteria
Description: partial 16S ribosomal RNA
Rfam family: Bacterial small subunit ribosomal RNA
Source: RNAcentral
UGGGGAAUUUUGGACAAUGGGCGAAAGCCUGAUCCAGCAAUGCCGCGUGUGUGAAGAAGGCCUUCGGGUUGUAAAGCACUUUUGUCCGGAAAGAAAUCCUUGGCUCUAAUACAGUCGGGGGAUGACGGUACCGGAAGAAUAAGCACCGGCUAACUACGUGCCAGCAGCCGCGGUAAUACGUAGGGUGCAAGCGUUAAUCGGAAUUACUGGGCGUAAAGCGUGCGCAGGCGGUUUGCUAAGACCGAUGUGAAAUCCCCGGGCUCAACCUGGGAACUGCAUUGGUGACUGGCAGGCUAGAGUAUGGCAGAGGGGGGUAGAAUUCCACGUGUAGCAGUGAAAUGCGUAGAGAUGUGGAGGAAUACCGAUGGCGAAGGCAGCCCCCUGGGCCAAUACUGACGCUCAUGCACGAAAGCGUGGGGGAGCAAACAGGAUUAGAUACCCUGGUAGUCCACGCCCUAAACGAUGUCAACUAGUUGUUGGGGGAUUCAUUUCCUUAGUAACGUAGCUAACGCGUGAAGUUGACCGCCUGGGGGAGUACGGUCGCAAGAUUAAAACUUAAAUGAAUUGACGGGGUCAUAGCUGUUUCCU